Molecule: ribosomal RNA, 478 nt
Filed under: Streptomyces hypolithicus
Lineage: Bacteria; Bacillati; Actinomycetota; Actinomycetes; Kitasatosporales; Streptomycetaceae
Description: bacterial SSU rRNA
Rfam family: Bacterial small subunit ribosomal RNA
Source: RNAcentral
AGCUUGUUGGUGGGGUAAUGGCCUACCAAGGCGACGACGGGUAGCCGGCCUGAGAGGGCGACCGGCCACACUGGGACUGAGACACGGCCCAGACUCCUACGGGAGGCAGCAGUGGGGAAUAUUGCACAAUGGGCGAAAGCCUGAUGCAGCGACGCCGCGUGAGGGAUGACGGCCUUCGGGUUGUAAACCUCUUUCAGCAGGGAAGAAGCGACUGGGUUUUCCCGGACGUGACGGUACCUGCAGAAGAAGCGCCGGCUAACUACGUGCCAGCAGCCGCGGUAAUACGUAGGGCGCAAGCGUUGUCCGGAAUUAUUGGGCGUAAAGAGCUCGUAGGCGGCUUGUCACGUCGGAUGUGAAAGCCCGGGGCUUAACCCCGGGUCUGCAUUCGAUACGGGCAGGCUAGAGUGUGGUAGGGGAGAUCGGAAUUCCUGGUGUAGCGGUGAAAUGCGCAGAUAUCAGGAGGAACACCGGUGGCGAA